UUUUGUUUCAGCUGUUUCCUUUUGAGUUUUGUCCUGUCAUUGGAGGAGCUGGCGAAGAGCACUGCGGCGCACGAGUGAGUUUCCUGUUUGCUGUGACUGCACCUGUUUGCCUGGUUCCCAUCGUCCUGCACAUCCGUGGUGUCCCAAAACCUCCUUCCGCUGUUGGAGCUGAGUGCCGGUCAUUUGGGGGGGCUAGUCCCCUCACUGUUUGCUAAGAGCACCAGA
This is a long non-coding RNA of Eleginops maclovinus (Patagonian blennie), 225 nucleotides long. RefSeq lists it as uncharacterized. The record is from RefSeq and is a predicted model, not a curated record. NCBI's taxonomy places the organism in Eukaryota, Metazoa, Chordata, Actinopteri, Perciformes, Eleginopidae. The transcript has 3 exons.